AAUCUCAAUAAUAGAGAUUAUAAAAAUUUCAUAUUUUCAAUAAUCUGGUUUAAUUCAAUCAAAUAUUUGUGUGGGUGUGUGGGUGUUGCAGCCUGUAGCUCAUUGCCAUAUUCGGCAUGGCCAUAGAGGGCGCUCGCAGCUUGAAUCAGAAUUUUGGAAUUCCCGUAUCAGCUUGAAUUAGAAUUUUGGAAUUCCCGAAUCGGGCACUUGUUAAUUUGCUGUCGACUAGAAAGCAGGUGUUACACAAAUUAGUUAAACUUUUAAAAGAAAAAGAAAAGAUGCCAAACAAGAGAAAUGCCGUAGGAUCGCCAUCAAGGGCCAUGGGAAAGAAGAGAAGAACGGCUAACAGGACAGGCGGACAGAUAAUGCAGAACGAGGAAAUAACCCAAAAGAAGGACGGAGCUGGCCGGAGAAGAAUUGCAAAGAAAACACAAGGGGUCGGACACGUGGUGGCAGAAGGACCGGUGGAAACUACUGAUUUUUCAUCAGGUAAUGAGUCGGAGGAGGAUGCACGAGCGUUCACCUCUUUAAGGCACGACCCGUUACACAAAAAAUUUGAAAUUGCAAAUAAUUCCAUUGAUUUCACUCCUUCACAAGAAUCUAGCAUUCAUGACACGUGCCUUUUAAAAUUAAGGAAAAAAUUUGGGAGGGAAAGUUUAUUGAGCUGCAUUCUCUUUUGAGAACGCAAAAAGCAAUGGAAGAGGUGGACGAGGGCGAUUUGAAAUUAAAAAAGGGAAAAAUUUGCAUUGAAAAAAGAUCGUCGAGUGUUAAUUUGUCCAUAAAUGAAUGGACUUCAGCAUUCAUGGUUUUUAUGAGUGUCUACAUUGAGAAAUACGGCACACGGGCACAGGAAUUGUUAAAAUAUAUGCGCGAUAUAAGACUAGCGGCAACGAGGUCAGAAAACUGGGCCACCUAUGACGAGCAAUUUAGGCUAAAAAUAGAGAAGAAUCCAAAUUUAUCUUGGGGAAAUAUACACGGUGAAUAUUGGCUAUUACACAUCACAUCUCCCAUAGUACAAAACAGCGUGUCAGUGCAAUCACAGGGUUAAAGGACAAAUACACAACAUCCGCUAAUCUGAUGAUUAUAAAUUCCUAACUGUCAGUAUUAAUUAUAAGCCGAUUCAACUAUAAAUUAGUGAUAACGUAUAAUGUAAACAUAACCAGACAAGGUCGUUAAACACUUCCAUUUGUUUGUUGUUAACAUAACAAUCCUCCCCCUUUUAAUUAAGAUGAUCAAGAUAAACAAGAUUAAUCUCCAGUGAAUGAAAGCAAUAAAUUCAAUUUGCACUCAAUUGAACUAAAUAGCUACAAGUUUUAAUGUUCAAUUAUGAAAUCCUAAACCUACAGUUAUAUCACUGCACUAACUUAAUUAACCACAAUUAUUUACAGUCAUAUAUGUUUUCAAUAAGUCUCUCUCAGUCUGGUGCCUUUCUUACUCUUUAUGUGCGGUGCAUAACUAUAGUAUCAUUAGCAUCUUCAAUUGUUUUAUUUUCGGUUAUUUUAGUUUUGUUCGGAUUCAUUGUUAUUUUCAGAUUUUUCGGUAUCGCAAGUGAAUUACAUGUUGGUUAGGUUAUUAAUUCAGUGUAAAUAUCAGAUAUGGUAAUUUCAAGUAUGUUUGGUAUGUUUUUAUUUUCCUGCGGUAUGAAGUUACGAAUCUGAAAAAUAUGUCACUUCUAGAUAAGUUACUGUUCCGAGUUUAUGAACGAUAGCUCCUUGUUUCCACUUGUUAUUGUCUCUAUAGUCUCUUUAAGAUUUGAACUCCCUACUGGAUGCAAAAAGAAUAUUUGUUUUUACCAUCUCCCCAUUUUAUUAUUAUUCUCUGUGGAGCUAUUGAUUUGACAUAUUUAGAAUUGACAUCAAAUGGUUUAAUUGAAAAUGAAAAAAUGGUCUACCCUACGUAACCAGGCUUUAUUUAAAAAGGUUAUUAUAAUAUGGCCUUUAUUGCUACAGUGCGAUACUGGCAUGUUGCACCCUUGAAUGUGGGUGCAAUAAUAGAACAGAACAG
This 2004-nucleotide long non-coding RNA is filed under the name Mytilus galloprovincialis (Mediterranean mussel). The record is from RNAcentral. Lineage: Eukaryota; Metazoa; Mollusca; Bivalvia; Mytilida; Mytilidae.